RNAcentral lists this ribosomal RNA (253 nucleotides) under uncultured bacterium. RNAcentral's name for it is "partial 16S ribosomal RNA". It matches the Rfam family "Bacterial small subunit ribosomal RNA", at positions 524 to 776 of the family's 1533-position model. The record is from RNAcentral.
GACGAACCGUGCGAACGUUGUUCGGAAUCACUGGGCUUAAAGGGCGCGUAGGCGGACUGCCAAGUCCGGGGUGAAAUCUUUCGGCUUAACCGGAAAAUAGCCUCGGAGACUGGCGGUCUGGAGGGGGGUAGGGGCAGCUGGAACUUCCGGUGGAGCGGUGAAAUGCGUUGAUAUCGGAAGGAACGCCGGUGGCGAAAGCGAGCUGCUGGACCUUUUCUGACGCUGAGGCGCGAAAGCCAGGGGAGCAAACGGG